AAAAGUAGGUGUGGUCCAGGCCCUCCAGGGGCUCAGGGGCUCGUGGAAGAAGUGGACAUUGAAAUACUUAUCACACAAAUGAGGAUAAAAGUACGAUAGCGAUAUCUGCCACGAAGGUGAGCAGACAGAGCUAGCGGGGCUUGCAGGAGGAGUUUUGAUCUUGCAGGGACAGGAAGGAGGAGUUAGCUCCUGCGGGGUGGGAUUGGGGGUGGUGGUGAUAUAGACGUGGGGACAGAGUGGAAAACAACAAAAAUAUAAUUAUUUUAGUUCAAAGUUAUUGUGUCUUGAGUUGAAAGGCAGGGCAGUUAGCAACACAGUUCAGAUUUCAGUACUGCCCCUGAAAUCUGAACUGUGUUCAAAGUCUAAAACGUUUACCUUAGCAAAUUCCUCAUAAAACUCCAUUUGGAAGAGUCCCGAGAGCGAAUUUGUUAAGUACACUUGCAAAAGGUAGAUGAGGAGACAGAUAAAAUCUUAUUACCUCUUUCAGAUGAGAGCCACUUGAGCCCUGCUCAGCUAUGAGAAUAAGAGAGGGGAAUUAAUUCUAAUUGAAUACACUUGUUCUCUUAUAGCUGUUGUUCCACACCAGAACCAAAUGAGCGCAAGAUCUGACAAAGAAAAAAAAAGUCCCUGUAUCCUGAGAUGGAGUCACCUAAGAAUCCACAGCAAGUCCUAACCAGGGAUGGGUCUGGGUGAUUAAGGAAGGUUGGCUUCAGAACUGGGCCAGGGGCACUGCUUUGCUUUUGCUGUUUUGAUCAGCUCUCUGCCUGCAGGAGACAAGGAAAACCAAUGGGAACAGCUGGGGAAACUGAGUUACAGAGCUUUUCUGCACUGAGUCAUCAGGAGCAAAUGCUAGAUCAGAUAGGGUCUCUCUCUCUGCCACCCAGGCCAGAGUGCAGUUGACGCAGGGCAGGGGAGCCCCGAAGUGGAGCAUAGCGUGUCCGGAACUGGUGGGUUCUUGGUCUCACUGACUUCAAGAAUGAAGCCGCGGACCCUCGCGAAAUGAGGCUUCUCCCUGGGACCAGCAUUCCACGAAGGCAGCCCUUUUCUAGAUGGAGAAAACAGAACCUGAAGACACCCGUUUCCCUAAACUGCUCUUGCUCAUGUUUCUACAAGGCCUGGAGCUGAUACGAAAAACCUCCCUUCUUUCCCAAAUGCUCCCCAGCUUCCCCGUUCACUGAAGGCCCUGCAGUCAGGAACAGUCAGGACUUUGCACCCAGUUGUUGUGGGUGUUUGGCCGACUCUUCCUCUUGUGUGAUUCAUGGACCCUCAGCAUUGCAUCACCUAGGAGCUUUUGGAAUUGAAGACUCUCAGGGCUCACCCGGAAGGACCUCCUGGGCCAGAAUCUGCAUUUUAACAAGAUGCUCAGGGCUUCUCAACCGGGAGUGAUUUUGCCCCCCAGAGAACAUGUGGCCAUGUCUGGAGACAAUUUUGGUGGUUGCGGCUGGAGGAGGUGGUGCUACUGGCAGCUAAUGGGUAGAGGCCAGCGAUGCUGCUAAGCAUCCUACAAUGCCCCGACAACUCCCACUAAGACAAAAGAAUGAUCCAGCCCCAAAUGUCAAUAGUGCUGAAAGUGAGAGACCCUGAUUCCAUCUUAGAGAUCAUCCAAGCACACUUGGCCAAAUUGGUUUUGCUACUGUCCCAUGAAGAAAAGGCAGACUCAUGACUGAUGGCAACAUCGAUGGGAAUUUUGUUUACCUCUUCUUUGUGGACUUUGGGUUACGAUGACUUACCAUUUGUGCAAGUUGUGCAUUGCAUACCUCCAGGGGGCGCCACCCACAUAUUUAUGAAAAUGCCACCCCAGGAAUUGCACAGUACAUAGUCUACAUGGCAAUAAGCAGUUGCUCUGGUUUUGGGGUUGUCCUGAGGUGCUCUGGAACUGGGAGGAACUUUAUUUCUGGCCAUUAGAGGCCCUGAGCAUGACUUUGAGUAUCCUUUCAAGAAAGGAGAAAUGUUGAACAGAGACGACCUCAUUUUUAUAACUCUUGACCAUCAUCUAGUUACGGAGCAUCCACUUUUCACCCCUGGGCCAUAUCCAUUUGAAGGGUGAAAAAUCAUCAAAUUAUAAUAUCAUGGCUUAUACUUUUGAUAGCUUCUGCCCGGAACAUGGCGGUAACAGCUUCUCAUUUUCAAUUGAGUCAUUGGGGGAGAAAAUAUACACGGCUGCCCUAAGACUUUCUAUUACAUACCACUUGUUUGACGAGAUUUCUUUAGUUUCUGCAGCAUAACUUAUUCUAACUGGUCCUCAAUCACUUUGCAAUAAAACCUGAGAUUGUGAAGAUGUUCAUUGUCAUUACCAGUGACGGAGCAGUAAGUACAGAGUUCUGGAGAGGGAAGGAAUCGAGAGAGUUAAACUAGCAGAAUGAGCCGCUCAUCCUCAGAAUUGCUUUUAAUCUUGGUGAGAACUGAGGGGAAUUUUGACAGUGUUCAGGGGGACUGCGGGGAGUGGGGCUGGGAAGUGGCUGUUUGCACGUGUGGUCAGCAAAUCCAGUGAGGGGGUCCAUGUACUGUGGGCAGCCCCACAGAUGGAGUUGGGAUUGCCCUAGACUGAGUACUGGGUCAUCAGUACUCAAGACAUCGAGGCCCAGGCUGGUGCAGGAGAUACAUUGCACUGUUUCAGCCUUUCUUCUAUCGCUCCUCUCCAAUGACAGUCCCCGAUUUUCCGCCGAGGAAUCACUAGUCCCCCAUGACAUGUGUGCGACUGGCCAUUCCCCACCCUGAUCUGGAGCUGGGGCAUGUGGUCCCAGCCUGGAUGUCAGUAUCCUUCCACCACCCUGGCCACAGUGAUUGGGUCUGAGAAGCAGAUUAGCCAAAGGAGAGACAAUCUUGGAAAUUCCACAUUCAUGCUUAAGAAAGUAAAAUGGAAAGCGGGGGGAGGGUGAGGGUUCAUUCUGAUAAUACAGUUUUAGGACCUGGAUGUAGCCACACCUGUAGCUGUCAACUCUGUGCCAUAGUACUGCUUUUUUUUUUUUUUUCCUUCAAAUUUAAAUACUUUCUAAAGGCAAGGUCUUGCUAUGUUGCUUAGGCUGGUUUUGAAAAGUCCCUUUUUGG
Molecule: long non-coding RNA, 3048 nt
Filed under: Homo sapiens (human)
Lineage: Eukaryota; Metazoa; Chordata; Mammalia; Primates; Hominidae
Description: HSALNT0366529
Source: RNAcentral